GGGCGGGGCCUGGAGGGACCAAUCAGCGGGCGAGGCUGUGGCCGAGCCGCGAUUGGUCCGCCCCGCGGGUUCCAACCUGCACCGCCCGCUCGGUCCUUUGAGCCACUGCAUCCCCUAGCGGCGCCCGGGUGGCUGCAGCCGCUGGCCCGAAAAUGCUGCUCGGGCGAGCAGGGGUCAGGCGGGAAAAGAAGACUCCAAAUCCACUCUCUGCUCGCCCCCAGGGCAAUGCUGCCAGGAGAGGGAGUGGGUUCCCCCGCAGGCUAUCCCACCGAUGGGGCUGAGAGCUUAAUUUGGGGUUUUAUUUGAAUUGGAGACAUUGUUCCCUCUUCGCUCCUCUACCCCAUAAAAUUCCCUACAAAUGCAAAAAUUCGAGAUAGAAGAAGCCGUCCCUGAAAUUGCUGUCUAACAUUCACCGGAAACCUCUCCAUAAACAAGGAGAAACGAAUGCACACGCAUUUUUGCUAAGAAGCCCGGGAUUAAGAUUUAAGGAUACAAGCUGAAAGAAAAAAUGAAAAAUGCUUCUCCGCGCGUCAAUCGAGGGGUGGAUGCGCCACGCAGCGUGAGCCCAGCUCACAGCCACGCGUAAGACCAAAAGCUGCCAUGGGUUCUGCGCGCGGAGACCUCAGAGCCGAAGAGAGAAGUCCCCGCGUCAGAAACGCUGCGGAUGCCAGGUCUUGAAAAUGCUGACUUCUGAGGCUAAGAAUUAUUUCAAAGACAAAAAGAAAAGACUGGUGAGGAGGCCUUCCGGUGCAAGGGCGCCUAUCCGCUAAUUUUGGAUGGGGAAGUAGGGAUUAUUCGUUUAAAUUCAAUCGCGAGCACCAAGUCGGACUGGCCGGGGAUGGAGAAGGGCAACCCCCACCUUUAGAAAAAUAAAAGAUCUCGAAGGCCCUUCUUGGUCUGGGUGGUUUGAGGCUGGCAGAGAGGGGUGGGGGGCCUGGGGCUGGAUGUCCCGGGUAAUGGAGCCAGCCGGUAGGGGGUAUUUAGCAUUUAAUUCCCAGCCGGCCCGCCCCAGUUCCCGGACUGACAGUGGGUAAUUGGGAGAGAGGACGUUGCUCUUUU
Molecule: long non-coding RNA, 1059 nt
Filed under: Homo sapiens (human)
Lineage: Eukaryota; Metazoa; Chordata; Mammalia; Primates; Hominidae
Description: HSALNT0158622
Source: RNAcentral